Pimephales promelas (fathead minnow) is the source of this 322-nucleotide long non-coding RNA. RefSeq lists it as uncharacterized. The record is from RefSeq and is a predicted model, not a curated record. Lineage: Eukaryota; Metazoa; Chordata; Actinopteri; Cypriniformes; Leuciscidae.
AACAGUUUGCAAUUUGCACUGAAAAAAACUGUCUUUUGGAUCUUGAACCGUUUGGUUCUCAGUUAAGUCCAUUAAGUUUAAUGGAGAAAAAAUCCUGGAAUGUUUUCAUCAAAUACCUUAAUUUCUUUUCGACUGAAGAAAGAAUGACAUGGACAUCUUGGAUGACAUGGGGCACUCCCAGAGGGACAGUUCAGACAGCUCACAGAAAGGGAGAAGAUGAAAGACUGACUGUGCUUUGAACAAGGUAUGUCCAAUCUACAGAUUCUGGCACUCACCGCAUCAAACUGGAAGAAAAAGUCAUCCGGCUUGCUCUCCACUGGAU